AACGAACGCUGGCGGCAUGCCUAACACAUGCAAGUCGAACGAUGCCUUCGGGCAUAGUGGCGCACGGGUGCGUAACGCGUGGGAAUCUGCCUUUCGGUUCGGAAUAACUCAGGGAAACUUGAGCUAAUACCGGAUAACGUCGCCAGACCAAAGAUUUAUCACCGAAAGAUGAGCCCGCGUAGGAUUAGCUAGUUGGUGAGGUAAAGGCUCACCAAGGCGACGAUCCUUAGCUGGUCUGAGAGGAUGAUCAGCCACACUGGGACUGAGACACGGCCCAGACUCCUACGGGAGGCAGCAGUGGGGAAUAUUGGACAAUGGGCGAAAGCCUGAUCCAGCAAUGCCGCGUGAGUGAUGAAGGCCUUAGGGUUGUAAAGCUCUUUUACCCGGGAAGAUAAUGACGGUACCGGGAGAAUAAGCCCCGGCUAACUCCGUG
This 433-nucleotide ribosomal RNA is filed under the name uncultured bacterium. Its description in RNAcentral is "partial 16S ribosomal RNA". It matches the Rfam family "Bacterial small subunit ribosomal RNA", at positions 29 to 507 of the family's 1533-position model. The record is from RNAcentral.